GAUGAACGCUGGCGGCGUGCUUAACACAUGCAAGACGAACGAUGAAGCCCAGCUUGCUGGGUGGAUUAGUGGCGAACGGGUGAGUAACACGUGAGUAACCUGCCCUUAACUCUGGGAUAAGCCUGGGAAACUGGGUCUAAUACCGGAUAGGAGCGUCCACCGCAUGGUGGGUGUUGGAAAGAUUUAUCGGUUUUGGAUGGACUCGCGGCCUAUCAGCUUGUUGGUGAGGUAAUGGCUCACCAAGGCGACGACGGGUAGCCGGCCUGAGAGGGUGACCGGCCACACUGGGACUGAGACACGGCCCAGACUCCUACGGGAGGCAGCAGUGGGGAAUAUUGCACAAUGGGCGCAAGCCUGAUGCAGCGACGCCGCGUGAGGGAUGACGGCCUUCGGGUUGUAAACCUCUUUCAGUAGGGAAGAAGCGAAAGUGACGGUACCUGCAGAAGAAGCACCGGCUAACUACGU
This 465-nucleotide ribosomal RNA is filed under the name uncultured bacterium. RNAcentral's name for it is "partial 16S ribosomal RNA". It matches the Rfam family "Bacterial small subunit ribosomal RNA", at positions 28 to 506 of the family's 1533-position model. The record is from RNAcentral.